RNAcentral lists this transfer RNA (62 nucleotides) under Tropostreptus hamatus. Its description in RNAcentral is "tRNA-Thr". The record is from RNAcentral. Lineage: Eukaryota; Metazoa; Arthropoda; Diplopoda; Spirostreptida; Spirostreptidae.
GUUUUUAUAAUUUAAUUAAAAUAUUGAUUUUGUAAAUCAGACAUGAGAACCCUCUAAAAACU